ACAAACUUGGUCAUUUAGAGGAAGUAAAAGUCGUAACAAGGCUUCCGUAGGUGAACCUGCGGAAGGAUCAUUAAGGAGUGACUUUGGCCCCGGACGGGGCCGGUUACCCGACCAUAAUGUCAUUUGGGCUGGGAGAAGGGGAGCUUGCGUAGCGGGAAUGCGGCUGAGAGGUCGGCAGACCCGGGAGCUCCUCGGACACCAGCAAAGGAUAUUUCGGCGGAAGCGGCAGGGGUUAUGUCUGUGAAAGGACGGACGCCCUGCCGGCCGCCGGCUGUAUUUCCAAGUCUUAUUGCGAGAAGAUUGAAGUCAUUGACGUGCUCGAGCACGGAAACGAAAAGAGAAAGCAAAACUUUCAACAACGGAUCUCUUGGCUCUGGCAUCGAUGAAGAACGCAGC
RNAcentral lists this unclassified non-coding RNA (396 nucleotides) under uncultured fungus. Its description in RNAcentral is "partial contains small subunit ribosomal RNA, internal transcribed spacer 1, and 5.8S ribosomal RNA". The stretch from base 1 to 73 matches the Rfam family "Eukaryotic small subunit ribosomal RNA", at positions 1759 to 1831 of the family's 1831-position model. The record is from RNAcentral. Lineage: Eukaryota; Fungi.